This 581-nucleotide long non-coding RNA is filed under the name Cicer arietinum (chickpea). RNAcentral's name for it is "long non-coding RNA (CARI_LNC000470)". Lineage: Eukaryota; Viridiplantae; Streptophyta; Magnoliopsida; Fabales; Fabaceae. The record is from RNAcentral.
CAAUCUAUAAACUUACCCUCUUUCUCAAUUGUUCCAUAACAUUUUCUUUGCACUAUUUAUUUAGAUACAACAGGUUGUUAGUGAAUUUUAUUCAAACACAAAUACAGUUUAUACAUCAAAUUUUGUCAAAGAUAAGUGAAACAUUUACGAUAGUACUUAUGCACGAGACUUUCACUUAAGCAGAACAUUAUGAAUUGUUUCUAUUUACUCUCAUUACACAUAAGAUUUUCUUUCAAAGUGAACAAAUUUUGAUUUUUAUGCCCACAAAGAUACAUAUACUCAACUAAUUGAACCUCACUUUGUGGGCUGAAGAGAAAUGCUUUGAUGCGGCAAAAAUAGAAGCUUCAGGUCCACUAGUUGCAGCAUCUUUGCUACGACAUUUCCUAGUAGUUUUCACAUCACCACAAAAUAACAAUGCGAAGAAUCUUGGUAUUGAUGAAAACCAGCUUUUGUUGUUGCCCUUAUCACCCAUUUUGCUCACUAAUUAUUAUAACGUGUGCUCAAUUUUAUCAAUUUAGAUUACUCUGCUAAUUGAUGCAUUCGGAACUCAUUGGUUAUAAUAUAGACAUAGUUCCUUGUUG